AAACUGUGGGUGUCUGGGGACAGGCUGUAGCUGAACAUGGUCCUCACUAUUGCUCCUACCUUGUAGCUGACAAGUACUGCCCCCUGCUGAUUAAGGAAGGCGGGAUGCCCCUGCUGAGGGACUUGAUCAAGAUGGUUACUGCCCGGCAGGAAACCAAGGAGAUGGCCCGCAAGGUGAUUGAGCACUGCAGUAACUUUAGAGAGGAGAACAUGGACACGUCCAGAUAGAGGCCACACAGCUCGGACCACAGGCCGGGAGGAAGCGCUGGAGGUCUAGUGGGCAGGUCCCUUGCGGAGCCUCCCACAGGGUGAAGAGACAGCGAGGACUUUUGCACAGCCGACGCGGUUCCUUAAUGUUAGUGAGAUAUAUAUAUUAUAUAUAUAUUAUUAUUUUUUUUUUGGUUAGGAAGUGUGAAGUUUUGUGUGUAUGACUUCUCCCGAGUCUUUGCAGCUCCUUGCCACUCUCAUCCACCUCCAAGCUUUCGUUGCUGCCAUGUUCCCUCCUGCCCCAGCUGGGCUUGCCUCUAAUGCUGUGAGUGCCUGGUCCCUUCCCAGUGAGCUCAGACCCUGGCCUGCCUUCUGUCUGUUGUGGGCGGAGCUGGCCCUUACCAGGCUGCUCGACAUCCUUGAUCCCCGCCUGAGUGCCCUGUGCAGGCUCCCAGGUGAGUGAGGCUGCUGAGGUCUGGGAUUAAGUCCAGCCCUACUGGGUUUCCCAGCUUUGGUGCUCCAGGCUGUGAGCCAUCUGGGGCCAAAAGAGUAAGCUGUUCCCAGCCUUAGACCAAGCGGCUCCUGUCCCGAGGACCCUGGAGAAGCAUGGCUCUGUUGGCCACUGCUCUCUGGCCAGGCCUGUCUGUGGCCAUGCUGCUAUGGAGGCUGCCUCAAGUCUCCCUCAGGCCCCAGGCUUUUGAAGGUUCCAGCCCAGAGAUGGCCAGAACUCAGGGGCAAUUCCACUGCCCCUUCUGCCAAACAUGCCCCAGGCCACCUCAACUCUGGCAGCUGGCACCUUCCGGGACCAGGGUCUUGCUCCUUGUUCUGUAGCCCUCAUCUACCCACAGCACCCCAGUGCCCAGGCACUCCCACCAGCAGCAGAGCUGAGCCCACCCGCUGUCCAGAAGAUACUACAGCUCCCUCCAAGGCAGGAGUUCCCCACUCCAGCCUCACAGUGGCAGCAGGAAACCACCUUCAGACCAGCAUGUGGACAGUCCUCUGUCCCUCCAGCCCAGUCAGGCUGCCCUGAGAAGCUGCACUGUGGUGUAGGCUCUCGGGGCAUCCGUGCACCCAUCAUUGUGUCUCUGCAUUGCCUUUCAUUGGUACAGGUACUCAGGAGACCUGUGCACAGCAGGCGUAGGGAGCAAAGCUGGCCCCGGAGGCAGCCUCUGGUGUGGCUUUUUCUGCCCUCUUUCUUCUCUGUGCCUGUUUGUUUCCGGGCUUACCUGCCUACAGUCAGAAGGGGCCCAGCUGUUCACAGGACUCGGGGAGAGGCAACUGACCUUCCCAGAGGAAACUUUCCCUGGCAGGUGGCUUCCCCCAUGCAGCACUUGGGCAACCUCAGCCUGCCCUUUCCAUCCCACGCCCUCUGGCACUGCCAGGCCCUGAGCAGAGCUGUCAUCCACUGCUUUACCACCUGGGUCUGGGGAAAUGUCUGUACUUCAGGAUGUCACAGAAAUACAUUUUGUGCAAAGUGCAAAA
RNAcentral lists this long non-coding RNA (1688 nucleotides) under Rattus norvegicus (Norway rat). RNAcentral describes it as "long non-coding RNA NONRATT019126". Lineage: Eukaryota; Metazoa; Chordata; Mammalia; Rodentia; Muridae. The record is from RNAcentral.